Long non-coding RNA from Ruditapes philippinarum (Manila clam), 1162 nucleotides. RefSeq lists it as uncharacterized. The record is from RefSeq and is a predicted model, not a curated record. The transcript is spliced from 2 exons. NCBI's taxonomy places the organism in Eukaryota, Metazoa, Mollusca, Bivalvia, Venerida, Veneridae.
AUGAAUUCGACGCAUGCGCUUUGACAAGGUAUCACGUGAUCUUUUAUAUAUGUGUUGGAUUUGCAACUACAUAAUUUUUAUGUCUAAAGUAAUCUUAGGAAGAAGAUAACAAUACCUGACGAUCACCUAGAACACUUUUACAUUACAACUUGUGUUAUACAAUACACAAAAAAUGGGAGUUUCCAACAGCUCUCAUAACUGGAUGGCUAGGAUAUCAUUUUACCCCGACAUUGACGAAAAGCCUGAUGUUGUUAUCUGUAAAACAAGCCGCAAUAUCCCGAAUGAGCCAACGCUAAUUGAAGAUUCGAGAGAGAGUAUUCUUCAAGUGUACUCGUACAAAGUUCCAAUUUUAAAUAUCACAGGCACGUGUCUACUCUUUUAUCACAGAUUUGUCAUUAUAGAAACCAAAAGCUGGUGGUGGUCCAUUGAGAAAAACAACGUGGAAAUCAUUAUACAAAGAAGUAAAAAUGAGGCUUCAGUAAAAAACAAAAUACUAGGAGAAAAGAGAAAUCCGCAAGAUAACAUACAACUUGAAGAGCAGGAUCGUCAAAUGUCAAUGUGAGGGCACUCUUGGAAUGGCUAGAUAUUGAAAACGAGACCUUUGACAGAUACCAUCUGUUUCAAAGCAAUUGUCAAGUGUUUGGUAAACGUGUUUACGAACACUUACAGGGUAAAAAGCAAUUAAAUUCAACACCAAUUUAAUAUUUUGCUUUUACGACAACAUUGAAUGUGUAAAGAAAGUAUCACGAUUUGGAUUACAUGAGAUACAAUUAACAAUUUGUUUGUAGUAUUCAACAUUUUGUUGCAACAUUUACUCAUUUAUUAUCGUAUGUUGAAGAAGAAACAUAUCAUAUGUACAUAUUUUUGUUUUAUAAUUGUCAUUUGAAUAUUUAUCAGCUUUAUUAUUGCCCUUAUUAGUGUUAUUAUUUUUACUAUAAAUAUAUUUUAAGUUAAUGCUUUCAAAACUGACGGAUUCAAAAUUGAUUUGUAACACCAAUUUUGCUAUCACGACAAUUUUAAUAGUAAAAAAGGAAACUAUGAUGACUUCGCUGAUAUGAAAGAUAUUCAACAGUUUGUUUGUAGUAUUGAACAAUUUACUGUAAAAAAUAAUCUUGUAUCAUUGUAUGUUAAAGAGAAAAUAUAAUCGACCAUUUCCAUUAGA